GAUGAACGCUAGCGGCAGGCUUAAUACAUGCAAGUCAAGGGGGUAGCAAUACAACCGGCGCACGGGUGAGUAACACGUACACAACAUACCAUAUACUGAGGUAUAGCUUCGGGAAACUGAAGGUAAUCCCUCAUAGUAUUGUGAAAGGGCAUCUUUUUUACAAUUAAAGUUUCGACGGUAUAUGAUUGGUGUGCGUUUGAUUAGCUAGUUGGUAGGGUAACGGCCUACCAAGGCAACGAUCAAUAGCUGGCGUGAGAGCGCGACCAGCCACACUGGAACUGAGACACGGUCCAGACUCCUACGGGAGGCAGCAGUAGGGAAUAUUGGACAAUGGGCGAAAGCCUGAUCCAGCCAUGCCGCGUGAUAGAUGAAGGCCCCUCUGGGUUGUAAAUAUCUUUUAUCUGGGAAGAAACACUUCUAUUCUUAGAAGCUUGACGGUACCAGAGGAAUAAGCACCGGCUAACUCCGUGCCAGCAGCCGCGGUAAUGUCGA
Molecule: ribosomal RNA, 492 nt
Filed under: uncultured bacterium
Lineage: Bacteria
Description: bacterial SSU rRNA
Rfam family: Bacterial small subunit ribosomal RNA
Source: RNAcentral